UCAACGUACAGUGCACUGUUGAUGUGGGGC
Molecule: non-coding RNA, 30 nt
Filed under: Homo sapiens (human)
Lineage: Eukaryota; Metazoa; Chordata; Mammalia; Primates; Hominidae
Source: RNAcentral